This 292-nucleotide ribosomal RNA is filed under the name uncultured bacterium. RNAcentral's name for it is "partial 16S ribosomal RNA". It matches the Rfam family "Bacterial small subunit ribosomal RNA", at positions 505 to 796 of the family's 1533-position model. The record is from RNAcentral.
GUGCCAGCAGCCGCGGUAAUACGAAGGGGGCUAGCGUUGUUCGGAAUUACUGGGCGUAAAGGGCGCGUAGGCGGUCUUGUCAGUCAGGCGUGAAAGGCCCGGGCUCAACCUGGGGACUGCGCUUGAUACUGCGAGGCUUGAAUCCGGGAGAGGAUGGCGGAAUUCCCAGUGUAGAGGUGAAAUUCGUAGAUAUUGGGAAGAACACCGGUGGCGAAGGCGGCCAUCUGGACCGGUAUUGACGCUGAGGCGCGAAAGCGUGGGGAGCAAACAGGAUUAGAAACCCCCGUAGUCC